RNAcentral lists this ribosomal RNA (486 nucleotides) under Triticum aestivum (bread wheat). RNAcentral's name for it is "partial small subunit ribosomal RNA". The record is from RNAcentral. Lineage: Eukaryota; Viridiplantae; Streptophyta; Magnoliopsida; Poales; Poaceae.
AUGGUUGUCUCCAUGUGGCAUUUCGCCAACCGUGUUCGACCUGACAUAUCACUCCAAGAGGUGUUCGAGACGGUGUGUGAGGGCACAUGUUUUGCCGGGCCUGUCUGGGAUCACAUCCUUGGAUACUGGAGGGUAAGCAAUGCAGAGCCAAACAGGGUGCUUUUCUUGACCUACGAGCAGAUGCAUCAGGAUCCGGUUGACAAAGUCAGGAAGCUAGCUCAAUUCCUCGGGAGACCAUUUUCCGACACAGAGGAAGAGGCCGGUGUCGUUGCAGAGAUCGUUGAGCUUUGUAGCUUGGAGCAUCUGAAAAAUCUAGAGGCCAACAAGAAAGGCUCCCAGGGGGUGUUCUUGAAGUUCCCAUAUGACUCCUAUUUCCGGAAGGGGGUGGUGGGAGAUUGGGUGAACCAUUUGACACCUGAGAUGGCUAAAUGUCUAGAUGCGAUAUUCGAGGAGAAGUUCAAAGGAUCAGGCUUCACUCUGCUGUGA